GCUAAAAACUUAGCCUUANCCCUACAAUUAUAUUUACCCUAUUUUACUUACACAAAAUAAAACAUUCUUUAAGCUUAGUAAAGGAGAUAAAAAAGUUUUUUAGAGCUAUAAAAUUAGUACCGCAAGGGAAAAAUGAAAUAAAAAUGAAACAAAAUUCAAGCAUAAUAUAGUAGAGUUUUCCCCUCGUACCUUUUGCAUCAUGAUUCAACUAGUUUAACCACGCAAAAAGAAUUUAAGUUUGACUUCCCGAAACUAAGUGAGCUACUUCAGGGCAGCUAAAUGAGCCAACCCGUCUCUGUUGCAAAAGAGUGGGAUGACCCUUAAGUAGAGGUGAUAAACCUAACGAACUUAGUGAUAGCUGGUUAUUCAGAAAAAGAAUUUUAGUUCAACUUAAAAUUACAUAAAUAAAAUAAAAUAAAAUUUUAAUUUUAAAGCAAUUCAAAUAAGGUACAGCCUAUUUGAAAUAGAAUACAAUCUAAACUAUAGGGUAAAUAUAAAAAAUUAAUGUAAUAAAGUAGGCCUAAAAGCAGCCAACUUUAAAAUAGCGUCAAAGCUUACUUCCAUAAUUUUUUAAUACUAUUAUUUACAAUGAACCCUUUAUUUUUACUGAAUAUUUCUAUAAAGUUAUAGAACCUUUUAUGUUGAAACUAGUAACAAGAAGUUAAACUUCUCCUCAAUAUAAGUAUAAGUCGACUAGGAUAAACCAUCGACAAUUAACGCUUAAAUUAAAUGUAUUAACUCCACAAGAAAAACUUACAUUACCCCACGUUAAUCUUACACCAGAACAUUUAAGGAAAGAUUNAAAAAA
RNAcentral lists this ribosomal RNA (808 nucleotides) under Engystomops petersi (Peters' dwarf frog). RNAcentral describes it as "partial 16S ribosomal RNA". The stretch from base 246 to 362 matches the Rfam family "Bacterial large subunit ribosomal RNA", at positions 714 to 852 of the family's 2925-position model. The record is from RNAcentral. Lineage: Eukaryota; Metazoa; Chordata; Amphibia; Anura; Leptodactylidae.